Molecule: ribosomal RNA, 480 nt
Filed under: uncultured bacterium
Lineage: Bacteria
Description: bacterial SSU rRNA
Rfam family: Bacterial small subunit ribosomal RNA
Source: RNAcentral
UGUCGUCAGCUCGUGUCGUGAGAUGUUGGGUUAAGUCCCGCAACGAGCGCAACCCUUAUCUUCAGUAGCCAGCAGGUAAAGCCGGGCACUCUGGAGAGACUGCCGGGGAUAACCCGGAGGAAGGUGGGGAUGACGUCAAAUCAUCAUGCCCCUUAUGAUUUGGGCUACACACGUGCUACAAUGGCGUAAACAGAGGGAAGCGAGCCCGCGAGGGGGAGCAAAUCCCAAAAAUAACGUCCCAGUUCGGAUUGUAGUCUGCAACCCGACUACAUGAAGCUGGAAUCGCUAGUAAUCGCGGAUCAGAAUGCCGCGGUGAAUACGUUCCCGGGUCUUGUACACACCGCCCGUCACACCAUGGGAGUCGGAAAUGCCCGAAGUCUGUGACCUAACCGUAAGGGAGGAGCAGCCGAAGGCAGGUCGGAUGACUGGGGUGAAGUCGUAACAAGGUAGCCGUAUCGGAAGGUGCGGCUGGAUCACCUC